Molecule: ribosomal RNA, 166 nt
Filed under: uncultured bacterium
Lineage: Bacteria
Description: partial 16S ribosomal RNA
Rfam family: Bacterial small subunit ribosomal RNA
Source: RNAcentral
GGAGCAUGCGCGCAGCUGAUGCAGCCAUGCCGCGUGAGUGAUGAAGGCCUUCGGGUUGUAAAGCUCUUUCGUCAGGGAAGAAAAUGACUGUACUUAUAUGAUAAAGCCCGGACAAUUCCUUGCCAGAAAGCCCGGUUUUAAUCCAUGCCAGCAGCCGCGAUAAUAA